UUUUUAAUAUAUUUUAUUGGAAGGGGAGAAUGCUCUUGUCACUAAGCAACGUGAAUACGGAAAAUGCCCGAGGUUGGUUGUUGUCUAAACAGUACAAUAAUGAAGAUAAAGAACUAAAAGCCUGACCUUUUUUGGUUCCUUCAUAAACCAGCUUGAAAUGCCAGCCCAGGGUCUGAACAUGCUCUGUGAUGAGAGAGACACCAUUCCCACCCUGAACCUGACCUUCGCAAGCAGGAGGGAGGAUGCUGGUACACCAGUUGUUUUAUGAGAAUGGCAGCAUUAUUCUUAUCAGUAGGUUGGAGGCACAAGAUACAUAUAAUCUUUACUCGAGAUGUUUAUUCCAGGAUUUUGUUCUCUGGUUCAAUUUCAAAAGGCUCCUGGACCAACUACUUUGGGUCUAUAUGAAAAGUUUUGUCUGGUGCUGUUUUUCAGUACAGGGAGGUACUUAAAAACUGAGAGGUAGGUGGGCCUCUUUUCUUACUUAACAGAUGAACAAAGGGAGAGGUUAAUUGUUUUGCCCAGUGUCAUCACACUGAACAAACCCCCGGGAUGUCGUGAGAAUUCACUUGUGUUAGCCAGCAAAUCUUGGAGAGCCUACAUGACAAAUUUCAAACAAUAAAGUCUCUUUUCUGAAAUGGGUGGUGAAUUUUGAUCAAAGAACAGCAACAACAAAGACUAUAAUCUUUGUUGGAAUUUUCCUUCCAUAAAUAUUUACAGAGUGGUCAUCGGACACCAGUAGAAAGAUCUCUUGAGUUCUUCGCAUGACCUUUGAGGAGAGGACGUCUCUGCUUUGCUUCAGCACAGAGCCAUUUCCAUGCACUCAUUCAUGAAGCCAGUCAUUAUUCACCCAACAGUCAUUUAUUGAGGACGUACUAGGGGCCAAGUACCGAGCUGGGACUGAGCUGACAAAGAUGCUGAAGGGGUUAGUCUCUGCUUCAAUCCAGGGAGCUUACAACCACAUGCGGGAGGGUCAGAUCAUUUCAGUGUGAUGGGCAACGUUAGAGCCAUGUUCAAGAUCUUCUAGAAGCACCAAAAAUGGGUUUCCCAGGCUGUCCUAGGAUGGGCUGGUGAUUUGGGAGUGUUUUCUGGAAGAGGCAAUCUGAGGUGGGUCUUACCAGAGGGAGUUCUCUGUGCGGAUGUUGAAAGGCUUAGGAGAGAAACAGCCAUCCUGAACUGAGAGUUUAGCAUAUUCAGAGGCGGCCGAAUAAGCAAUGGUGUGCUGGUGAGAUAGAGGCAGAACAGGGCAGUUGUUGAAAGCCUCCUUUGCUCGGACUGCACACUGAGCAUCUGGCUGAAAAAAGCUCCAUCUCUGUAUUUCAGAUAUUGCCAGGGAAGAGGAAGGGUUACCACUGGGUCAUUCAUCUUCUGCUCACAUCUCAUUGGCUAGGCCACGUCAAACUCCCAAGAGGGCAGGGGUAGGGGGGUGGGUGGGUGAGUGCAGGCCCCCUAUUUGCACAGAAGAAGGAGGCACUGAAUAGCUGUGAUGACUAUGCUAUGACUAUGUGAUAUUAUCAGGAAAACUCAAAAAUUAGGGAGUUCCCAUCAUGGCGCAAUGGUUAACGAAUCCGACUAGGAACCAUGAGGUUGUGGGUUCGAUCCCUGCCCUUGCUCAGUGGGUUAACGAUCCGGCGUUGCCGUGAGCUGUGGUGUAGGUUGCAGAUGUGGCUCGGAUCCUGUGUUGCUGUGGCUCUGGCGUAGGCUGGCAGCUAUAGCUCUGAUUAGACCCCUAGCCUGGGAACCUCCAUAUGCUGCAGGAGCGGCCCUAGAAAUGGCAAAAAAAGACACCCCCCCCA
Molecule: long non-coding RNA, 1793 nt
Filed under: Sus scrofa (pig)
Lineage: Eukaryota; Metazoa; Chordata; Mammalia; Artiodactyla; Suidae
Description: lncRNA (ENSSSCG00050050583.1)
Source: RNAcentral